AUUGAACGCUGGCGGCAGGCUUAACACAUGCAAGUCGAACGAGCGGCGGACGGGUGAGUAAUGUCUGGGAAACUGCCUGAUGGAGGGGGAUAACUACUGGAAACGGUAGCUAAUACCGCAUACCAUCAGAUGUGCCCAGAUGGGAUUAGCUAGUGGGUGGGGUAAUGGCUCACCUAGGCGACGAUCCCUAGCUGGUCUGAGAGGAUGACCAGCCAAACUGGAACUAAGACACGGUCCAGACUCCUACGGGAGGCAGCAGUGGGGAAUAUUGCACAAUGGGCGAAAGCCUGAUGCAGCCAUGCCGCGUGGGUGAAGAAGGCCUUCGGGUUGUAAAGUACUUUCAGCGAGGAGGCGUUACCCGCAGAAGAAGCACCGGCUAACUCCGUGCCAGCAGCCGCGGUAAUUC
RNAcentral lists this ribosomal RNA (406 nucleotides) under uncultured bacterium. RNAcentral describes it as "partial 16S ribosomal RNA". It matches the Rfam family "Bacterial small subunit ribosomal RNA", at positions 30 to 526 of the family's 1533-position model. The record is from RNAcentral.